GAGUUUGAUCAUGGCUCAGAUUGAACGCUGGCGGCAUGCCUAACACAGCAAGUCGAACGGCAGCGCGGGAAAGCUUGUCUUUCCUGGCGGCGAGUGGCGAACGGGUGAGUAAUACGUAGGAAUCUGCCCAGCAGCGGGGGAUAACCCGGGGAAACUCGGGCUAAUACCGCGUACGCCCUACGGGGGAAAGGUGGCCUCUGCUUGCAAGCUGCCACUGUUGGAUGAGCCUACGUCCGAUUAGCUUGUUGGUAGGGUAACGGCCUACCAAGGCGACGAUCGGUAGCUGGUCUGAGAGGAUGAUCAGCCACACUGGGACUGAGACACGGCCCAGACUCCUACGGGAGGCAGCAGUGGGGAAUAUUGGACAAUGGGCGCAAGCCUGAUCCAGCAAUGCCGCGUGUGUGAAGAAGGCUUUCGGGUUGUAAAGCACUUUCAGUAGGGAAGAAAAGCGCCGGGUUAAUACCCCGGCGUCUUGACGGUACCUACAGAAGAAGCACCGGCUAACUCCGUGCCAGCAGCCGCGGUAAUAC
Molecule: ribosomal RNA, 530 nt
Filed under: uncultured bacterium
Lineage: Bacteria
Description: bacterial SSU rRNA
Rfam family: Bacterial small subunit ribosomal RNA
Source: RNAcentral